Molecule: RNase P RNA, 401 nt
Filed under: Chloroflexota bacterium
Lineage: Bacteria; Bacillati; Chloroflexota
Description: Chloroflexi bacterium (anaerobic digester metagenome) RNase P RNA component class A
Rfam family: Bacterial RNase P class A
About the family: Ribonuclease P (RNase P) is a ubiquitous endoribonuclease, found in archaea, bacteria and eukarya as well as chloroplasts and mitochondria. Its best characterised activity is the generation of mature 5'-ends of tRNAs by cleaving the 5'-leader elements of precursor-tRNAs.
Source: RNAcentral
CAAGCAGGCCAGGUGACCGCGACCGGCAACGCCGGUUGAGGAAAGUCCGCACUCCAUAGAGCACGGUGCCGGCUAACAGCCGGGCGGGGUAACCCGAUGGCAAGUGCAACAGAGAGCAGACCGCCUAAGCAGUUCCCAAGGGGGACUGCCGGUAAGGGUGAAAGGGUGGUGUAAGAGACCACCGGCAGCGGCAGUAAUGUCGCUGGCCAGGUAAACCCCACCGGGAGCAAGGCCAAACAGGACGUUGUCUCUUCGGAGGCAGAGAGUGGCUCGCUCUUCAUUGUCCAGGUAGGCCGCACGAGACGACCAGUAAUGGCCGUCCCAGAUAGAUGGUCACCACCACGCCAGCCGCGCAGACGGCAGGUGUGGUACAGAAUGCGGCUUAUCGGCCGGCUUGCACU